Molecule: signal recognition particle RNA, 291 nt
Filed under: Prolemur simus (greater bamboo lemur)
Lineage: Eukaryota; Metazoa; Chordata; Mammalia; Primates; Lemuridae
Description: Metazoan signal recognition particle RNA (ENSPSMG00000007777.1)
Rfam family: Metazoan signal recognition particle RNA
About the family: The signal recognition particle (SRP) is a universally conserved ribonucleoprotein. It is involved in the co-translational targeting of proteins to membranes.
Source: RNAcentral
GCUGGGCAUAGUGACACGCACCUGUAGUCCCAGCUACUCCAGAGGCUGAAGCAGGUGGAUCACUUGAGCCCAGGAGUUCUGGGCUGUAGUGUACCGUGCAGAUUGGGUGCCAUCACUAAGUUUGCAUCAAUAUGGUGACCUCCAAGGAGCCAGGAACCACCAGGUUGCCUAAGGAGGGGUGAACCAGCCCAGUUUGAAACCAAGCAGGUCAAAAUUUCCGUGCUGAUCAGCAGUGGGAUUGCACCUGUGAAUAGCUGCUGCACUCCAGCCUGGAGUGCAACCACAGUCUCU